Molecule: ribosomal RNA, 250 nt
Filed under: uncultured bacterium
Lineage: Bacteria
Description: partial 16S ribosomal RNA
Rfam family: Bacterial small subunit ribosomal RNA
Source: RNAcentral
CGAGCCGGUGACGGUGGGCGAAUCCCAAAAAUAACGUCUCAGUUCGGAUUGUAGCUGCAACCCGACUACAUGAAGCUGGAAUCGCUAGUAAUCGCGGAUCAGAAUGCCGCGGUGAAUACGUUCCCGGGUCUUGUACACACCGCCCGUCACACCAUGGGAGUCGGAAAUGCCCGAAGUCUGUGACCGAACCGAAAGGGAGGAGCAGCCGAAGGCAGGUCGGAUGACUGGGGUGAAGUCGUAACAAGGUACC